UCGCUCGCUGGCUUCAUUAUGCAACAUUAUCCUGGCAAAUUUCUUUCAUCAUGUACUCAAAGGUAUAAGGGAUCUAAAGAACAGUCAAGUGCUAUUGUGAGAGAAUAAAUCUGCGGUGAUGGAUAGAGUUUUGUGUUCCCUAUCUGCCAAGUUUUCAAAUGACGAGGGUGAGAAUGACAAAGUGUCAAGCCGUGAAGGAUAAUCUUAGCAGACAAAAAUGGUAUUUAACAUCUAAAAUACACGCGCCAGGAAAUAUGAAGAAUUAAACUCCCCGGAAAGGAUAAUUUUAUAAUCAUGUCGAUACAGAAGUUAUUUCAAAAUAUAUGUCUUUCAUAAAGUCUA
This is a long non-coding RNA of Xenia sp. Carnegie-2017, 342 nucleotides long. RefSeq lists it as uncharacterized. Lineage: Eukaryota; Metazoa; Cnidaria; Anthozoa; Malacalcyonacea; Xeniidae. The transcript is spliced from 3 exons. The record is from RefSeq and is a predicted model, not a curated record.